Long non-coding RNA from Pezoporus flaviventris, 4358 nucleotides. RefSeq lists it as uncharacterized. The record is from RefSeq and is a predicted model, not a curated record. NCBI's taxonomy places the organism in Eukaryota, Metazoa, Chordata, Aves, Psittaciformes, Psittacidae. The transcript has 4 exons.
UGCCAUUUUUAACUGAACAUUUCCUGUCCUCCAAAUCAUUCUAGGUUCAGCCUCCAAGAAAGUAGCAAGGGAAAAUCAGGCCAUUUAAAAAUAAAAUAGAUUACUUCUGCACAGCUUUCUUUAAUCAAAACCAUUAUAACUGAUGGCUCAGAGCCUUGAUUACACCUCUUCAGAGGGCACCCCUUGAUUUUGUGCGACAUCCCUGAUUAUUUUAUUUACUUAUUUAUUUAUUUAUUUAUUAGCUUUUAUUUUCUGCCUUGAUUUCUAGGUCACAGAGUUGAGGCUCUUUCUUGUUUUAAGCGCAUUGGCUUGUUUCUUAGUGGCAGGUUAUUUUUCUUACAGGGGCUAUGAAGUAAACAUGCCCCUUUUUCAGAGGAAGACAAAAAUUCCCGUGAUCACAUAUUCCUGGAGUUCUUUCUCUUCCUCCCCAGCCCCUGUGGAGAGCAAGACUGGACGAAGAAUCAUUCCUCCUGACCUCUACCGAGCACCCGCAGAGCUAAGGGCCAAAAGGUCAUUUUCUCAGGUUCCCUCUGGAGGGAGAAUCCAAAGGUCAUUCCCUCCUGCCCCAACUCACACCAAGUGCAUCUGAGAGACAUUUAAAACUCCUUUGAAGAGGAAGAGACGGAGUCUGUGUGCUUUACCUACUGCCCUCAACAGCUAAGAGAUGUGAACCAGGGUUAUGCCUGAAAUGUUUCCCUUGACGCUCAGACUUACUCAGGCCUGGCCUUGGGUUCAAGGUUUGGCCCUUUGUGAACUUCAGUGGGGAUGGGCAGACAUUGCUCACACAGCUGUGAGGUGGGCCUCACUGUUUCUGCUUCCUUUUCUGUUCCUCAAAGCAGCCUUCUCCUUCCCACAGCCCCCAGGGUCCUUCUCCUCCCAGAACUGCAUUUUACUAGUAAUUUACCAGAUGCCAUUAGGGAGUGGGGUGGAACAGCUCUUAAUCUCUUGAUGUUCCUGGUUCUUGGGAAUGGAGCUGCAGGGAUCAUUUUGUAAGUUCUCUUAGAAGACAAACCCAGAUAGACUCACCCAGCCUCACCCAGAGCUCCUGCUGCUGAUGCCCACUGCUUUGCCAUUCACGAACCCUUGGACUGGUUUUGGAACCACAGUGCAUUUCCCAAGAGUGAAGUAAAUAGUCAAGGUUCUACACUUCCUUCUCAUCCCUUUCAAGCAAAAAGUCUCUUUGUUUUCUUGCUCUCCAAAUGACCAAGUAAAAGGGAGAUUUCUCAUUGUUAAUUUCUUUGACCUGCCUGAGGGAGGAAGGAAGAGAAGAGCAACAGUUAUUUCACAAGGUCCCCUGCAGAAGGGGGGCACCAAGGGUCACUUCCCCUCAAUCUGUCCCCUCCAAAGGAGUGCAGUUAGGCUGUGUCAAUGCCAUGGUCUCUUUGUGGUGGAUAUGCAGCCAGAGGUCAUCCCCUGCCGCAGCCCUGCUCUCGCUGCGGAUGACCACACUCUCCUGCAUGCCUGCUUUCUCUCACACAUGGGGGGCAGGGGAGAUUAGUUCUUUUUCCCUCUCUCUGCUUUGUACAGAGAGAACUCACAAGUCACUACCUGGACCCCUUUCGGACAGAGACAAUAGAAAAAAGGCAGUUCCUAGGUUGUUUUUUUUCUGAGGAUUUUUCAGGCUGCUGGGGCAUAGCAGAAUUAGCUGAGCAAAGCUUUACAAUCCAAAUAAAAGUGAAAUGCUGAAGUAAAGGUUUUGAGCCAUUUGGAGGUUUUCGUAACACUGCCCAGAGCAGCGGCAAAUCCACUGCAAAAUUUCUAUUGACCCUUGGGUACACAUCAUCCCUAAAUUUAGGGAAAAUGCUAAUCUCCUGUGAAGAACUGUAAGAAAGCAAGGCUUAUAAGAAAUAUACCAGAAAAUCUUGUUUCCGUGUCACCAGACAGAAAACAAUAACUAAAAACACCUAUCCUGCUUGUUGUUUUGAGGUUUGGGUUGUUGCAGGUAACUCCCUCAGGGCUUGAUCUGAACCCUUCGAAGUAAUGCAAGUGUUCUGGUUGAAUUUCAUGCUCUUUGGGUCAGGCCAAAACCAGGCUUCCAUCUUUACAUUAGUCUCUGGGAAGAUCUUUAAGGAGUUAAUGUAGAAUUAAAAGUUUUUGUCAAGAGCUUCCUUUUCACAGGUGAUCUGAUUCUUUCAAGUCUGGAGGCUAACUUUUGUUCAGAGAUAGGGGUCUGCAGCUCCCUCUGAAGUUGAUGAGCUCGUCUUUGCCACCUCCAAAGCAGAACCAAGGGAAAUAAGCACUGUGCAGCUGCUUACUUUAGGACAAGAAUUUGGCCCCAGGAUUAAAGAAGAAAACACACUUGUACAUUGUCAAGGCAUCCUACAAUUUCAGCCUUAACUAUUUUAAAUGACGAGAACAGCAAGCUGCUCAAAAAAGAUGUGCAGGCUUUUUAUGUACUCGUAAGACUGACUGAAUAGCGAAACUAAUUUGGCAACACAAAUCAUCAUAUACCCAGAACUUCUUCAUGAACUCCUUGGCAAGAUUCAAAGCUCCUUUUGACACACUCCAAGACUGCUUACAGGAGAACAUAUUCUAGUUCAGACUUCUUUCUUUUCUCCUCCUCCCCACUUCCUCUACAAAGCCAGAAUGACUUCUCUUAUGGCAGAUGUUGACUCCUGGUACUGCGAUUGCAGUCUCCACACUUUAGCACACUAAAAAUGAGUCCAGAAUUUCCUAUUCAGCUCUUGAGAUAACGCAUUGUUUCCAUAGAAGACAUGUGGAAGAACUUCAGGUUUAUUCCCUAGGUAAAAUAUAUCUCUGUGAUGCUGUGAGGCUUGGGUGGUAAAUGGCUGCAAAAUGCCUUGAGAUCCCCAUGUAAGUACACAACACUGGUGUUCUACAGCACUUCAGUGCUCUCAAGUUCCAGACUGGAGCCAUUCGUCAGUGCUCUGGAUAACUCCCCCUUAAACAAACGAUUUGCAAAUAGAAGUGACAUACUGUUCUACACACUGGGCUGCACAUUGGUGGGAUGCUGGUCAUCUGCACAGCACCAAGCCUUCCUGUGCAUGCCCAGUCAUUCCAGGAUAUGAAGAGGGACAGGAUCCGCUCUUCCGCUCAGACUUGCUUGUUUCACUCAAGUGUGAGCUCAUAGUGCCACCCUUGAUCUUGGAUCUGUGGCUCUGCCUUGGAGCAUUACACACUUCCUGUGAUGAUUUAUUUUGUGCCAGGUUUUGUGCCAGGCAAAUACAAGGCUUUUUUCCUCAGAAAAGUCCUCCUCAAGGUCCAAGUGUUUUAAAAUAGGUACGCUUAUCUGUCACAAAAUAAAAAAUCACUAUUCCACUUCCUUAUGACCAAGAACCACCAGGCCUUUUAGCGUCUACAUACACUAUUGAGGUUUGGCCUGACAGACUUUCAACAGCACCGAAUGUCCCCAAACCAAGCCCAGCCGCCUCUCCCACGUAGUCCUCCCGCGCCCACCCUCCCUCACGGCGGCAUCAGCCGUUAACGGCACCGCCCCGCGGGGGCCGGCGGCCGGCUGCGCGCCCGCUAGCGCCGCCAUCGCCGCGGUCUCUAUCGCAACGCCGGAUUGGCUAAGCGGCGUCGGGAAGGUGUCCGCCGAUUGGUUGUGUCCGGGUGCUGUUGCUAUGACUCCGUUGCUAGGGCCUCGGCCGUCUCCAGGCCCUGCAGGAAACAUCUCAGGCCUUCACUAAUGGUUUCAAUAGCCUUUGGCUGAGGAGAGCUUCCCUGUGAGUGCCAUAUCUAUAACGUGCCUGCUUCACACAAGUGCGAAACUGGAUGUUGUUACUCACAGAUAACUCUCCAGCUGGAACUCCCCACAUGAACAAAGCCUCUGAUGUUUCAUACCUGAAUAAACAGGGAGAAGUAAAUCACUUAAGCAAGAGCUCUGAGAUGAAGAUGGCAUAUAUCCACCCUCCUGUGAUUCAGAGUAGAAUGACACCUUAUUUCUAGGAUUAUUAAACAAAAUAUUCUGUUGUGUAAAAACCAAUGAGCACUAAAAAAAAGAAAAAAAUAAAAAAUUAAGAAAGUCUAUGAAAAACUGCAUACAGGAGGAGAAAACACUCUAAACUCUGGCCAUUAGGCAGUCCCUAAAAAAAGGUUCAGCUGCAAUGGCCCUUAUGUUUUAUUAUUUUCUAUUAUCAAAAUGUUUUCUGUUGAAUAAAAUGGUUAAGGCAAAACUGUACUGCCUAUCCCACCCAUUCCUGACAGAGCAUUCAUCAAACUCCAUUAGAAAAAAAAAUAAAUCCAGGCUAUAGAUGUGUCAUCAGAGACCCAAUGAUGCUGAGAAAUGUCUGAGAUGCGGUUUGCUGAAAACACUAUAUUAACAUUUGUGUAUAUGGAUGUGUUAAUUUUAUGGUUUUGGUUAUGUGCAACAUACAUUAAAAUGAAAAAUAUGUUAA